RNAcentral lists this ribosomal RNA (498 nucleotides) under uncultured bacterium. RNAcentral describes it as "partial 16S ribosomal RNA". It matches the Rfam family "Bacterial small subunit ribosomal RNA", at positions 29 to 523 of the family's 1533-position model. The record is from RNAcentral.
AUUGAACGCUGGCGGCAUGCCUUACACAUGCAAGUCGAACGGUAACGCGGGGCAACCUGGCGACGAGUGGCGAACGGGUGAGUAAUGCAUCGGAACGUGCCCAGUAGUGGGGGAUAGCCCGGCGAAAGCCGGAUUAAUACCGCAUACGACCUACGGGUGAAAGGGGGGGAUCGCAAGACCUCUCGCUAUUGGAGCGGCCGAUGUCAGAUUAGGUAGUUGGUGGGGUAAAGGCCUACCAAGCCUACGAUCUGUAGCUGGUCUGAGAGGACGACCAGCCACACUGGGACUGAGACACAGCCCAGACUGCUACGGGAGGCAGCAGUGGGGAAUUUUGGACAAUGGGCGCAAGCCUGAUCCAGCCAUGCCGCGUGCGGGAAGAAGGCCUUCGGGUUGUAAACCGCUUUUGUCGGGGAAGAAAUCUUCUGGGCUAAUACCUCGUGAGGAUGACGGUACCCGAAGAAUAAGCACCGGCUAACUACGUGCCAGCCGCCGCAGUAA